RNAcentral lists this ribosomal RNA (526 nucleotides) under uncultured bacterium. Its description in RNAcentral is "bacterial SSU rRNA". It matches the Rfam family "Bacterial small subunit ribosomal RNA", at positions 778 to 1301 of the family's 1533-position model. The record is from RNAcentral.
AUAGAUACCCUGGUAGUCCACGCCGUAAACGAUGAGUGCUAAGUGUUAGAGGGUUUCCGCCCUUUAGUGCUGCAGCUAACGCAUUAAGCACUCCGCCUGGGGAGUACGGUCGCAAGACUGAAACUCAAAGGAAUUGACGGGGGCCCGCACAAGCGGUGGAGCAUGUGGUUUAAUUCGAAGCAACGCGAAGAACCUUACCAGGUCUUGACAUCCCACUGACCGGUAUAGAGAUAUACCUUUCCCUUCGGGGACAGUGGUGACAGGUGGUGCAUGGUUGUCGUCAGCUCGUGUCGUGAGAUGUUGGGUUAAGUCCCGCAACGAGCGCAACCCUUGAUCUUAGUUGCCAGCAUUUAGUUGGGCACUCUAAGGUGACUGCCGGUGACAAACCGGAGGAAGGUGGGGAUGACGUCAAAUCAUCAUGCCCCUUAUGACCUGGGCUACACACGUGCUACAAUGGAUGGUACAAAGGGCUGCAAGACUGCGAAGUCAAGCCAAUCCCAUAAAAACCAUUCUCAGUUCGGAUUGC